AACGUGGCUGCUUUUAAAGAGACCAGCUGCGGCGCGCGCGAGGGGGACAUGCGCCGGUCUACAGCAGCGUAACCCAAAUGCUCCUUUUAUCUCGACAAAAAGGAAUAAAUGAAUUGACGGUGAAAGCGGCGGCCUACUUUCGCGAGGAGAGGAAGUAAUACAUUUGCAAUGGGGGACCUCGGUGCUCGAUCUGUCCAUUGUUUUUACAGUUUAUGGCUCCACCACAUAGAGGGUGUCAGGACGCAGAGUUCAGAUGUGUGGUAGCAGUUGGGAAGAAACUGUUCCAGAACCUGGUGGUUUCAGUCCGCAGACUCCUGUAACGCCUGCCAGAGGGCAAAGUGAAGGGUCUGUGUGCUGGGUUCUGGACGGUAAGAUGAUACAUACUGUGUGGGUGAUAGAAAAGUGUCUAUUGUCCCAUUUCUCUUCUAUCGUUUAUAUCAUUUAUAAUCAUCAUUAUCAGCUUUUUUUAUAAAGCACUCUAAUGCAAUUUGAAAUUGAAAUGAAGUACUGAACAUUAAAACCUUAAAACA
Molecule: long non-coding RNA, 530 nt
Organism: Oryzias melastigma (Indian medaka)
Lineage: Eukaryota; Metazoa; Chordata; Actinopteri; Beloniformes; Adrianichthyidae
Exons: 3
Source: RefSeq, a predicted model, not a curated record